This 82-nucleotide transfer RNA is filed under the name Omnitrophica WOR_2 bacterium GWA2_47_8. RNAcentral describes it as "tRNA-Leu". It matches the Rfam family "tRNA". Rfam says of the family: Transfer RNA (tRNA) molecules are approximately 80 nucleotides in length. Their secondary structure includes four short double-helical elements and three loops (D, anti-codon, and T loops). Further hydrogen bonds mediate the characteristic L-shaped molecular structure. tRNAs have two regions of fundamental functional importance: the anti-codon, which is responsible for specific mRNA codon recognition, and the 3' end, to which the tRNAs corresponding amino acid is attached (by aminoacyl-tRNA synthetases). tRNAs cope with the degeneracy of the genetic code in two manners: having more than one tRNA (with a specific anti-codon) for a particular amino acid; and 'wobble' base-pairing, i.e. permitting non-standard base-pairing at the 3rd anti-codon position. The record is from RNAcentral. Lineage: Bacteria; Pseudomonadati; Candidatus Omnitrophota.
GGGCGGAUGGCGGAACUGGUAUACGCGCAUGCCUUAGGAGCAUGUCCCGCAAGGGUUGGAGGUUCAACUCCUCUUCCGCCCA